GAACGCUGGCGGCGUGCCUAAUACAUGCAAGUACGCAACGCUGAAGAGAGGAGCUUGCUCUUCUUGGAUGAGUUGCGAACGGGUGAGUAACGCGUAGGUAACCUGCCUUGUAGCGGGGGAUAACUAUUGGAAACGAUAGCUAAUACCGCAUAACAAUGGAUGACACAUGUCAUUUAUUUGAAAGGGGCAAUUGCUCCACUACAAGAUGGACCUGCGUUGUAUUAGCUAGUAGGUGAGGUAAUGGCUCACCUAGGCGACGAUACAUAGCCGACCUGAGAGGGUGAUCGGCCACACUGGGACUGAGACACGGCCCAGACUCCUACGGGAGGCAGCAGUAGGGAAUCUUCGGCAAUGGGGGCAACCCUGACCGAGCAACGCCGCGUGAGUGAAGAAGGUUUUCGGAUCGUAAAGCUCUGUUGUAAGUCAAGAACGGGUGUGAGAGUGGAAAGUUCACACUGUGACGGUAGCUUACCAGAAAGGGACGGCUAACUACGUGCCAGCAGCCGCGGUAAUACGUAGGUCCCGAGCGUUGUCCGGAUUUAUUGGGCGUAAAGCGAGCGCAGGCGGUUUGAUAAGUCUGAAGUUAAAGGCUGUGGCUCAACCAUAGUUCGCUUUGGAAACUGUCAAACUUGAGUGCAGAAGGGGAGAGUGGAAUUCCAUGUGUAGCGGUGAAAUGCGUAGAUAUAUGGAGGAACACCGGUGGCGAAAGCGGCUCUCUGGUCUGUAACUGACGCUGAGGCUCGAAAGCGUGGGGAGCGAACAGGAUUAGAUACCCUGGUAGUCCACGCCGUAAACGAUGAGUGCUAGGUGUUGGAUCCUUUCCGGGAUUCAGUGCCGCAGCUAACGCAUUAAGCACUCCGCCUGGGGAGUACGACCGCAAGGUG
This 884-nucleotide ribosomal RNA is filed under the name uncultured bacterium. Its description in RNAcentral is "bacterial SSU rRNA". It matches the Rfam family "Bacterial small subunit ribosomal RNA", at positions 31 to 895 of the family's 1533-position model. The record is from RNAcentral.